Hydra vulgaris (swiftwater hydra) is the source of this 944-nucleotide long non-coding RNA. RefSeq lists it as uncharacterized. Lineage: Eukaryota; Metazoa; Cnidaria; Hydrozoa; Anthoathecata; Hydridae. The record is from RefSeq and is a predicted model, not a curated record.
UUAAUUUAACAAUUCUGGAUAUUUUUCAUAUUUAGUUUGCGUACAACAAUUAACAACUUUAAGCUUAUACAUUAACUUUAGUUAUAACUUAAUUAUUAAUGAUUUGAUUUAUAGAUUUUUAAAGCUAUACAAGAUUGAAUUUAGCAGAAGGCUAAAUUACUGCUCUGGAGACAAAAAAGGAAGACAGCGAAAAUGACCAGUCAAAAUAAAGAUUAAAGAGACAAAAAAUUGUGUAUAUCUUGGUGUAGAUGAUUUAUCCUCUACACCUCAUUUUCUUAUAAUAAAACAAAAAAUGUUAUUAAACUUAGGGAUUUACCUGUAACUCCAAACUCUUUACAGAAGUUCAAUGUUUGCUCUGAGAAGUUGAAUGAACAAAUUUAUUAAAUGAUAAAGUUGUAUCCUUGAAAGAUAUGCUGGUAUUAUUGGCACAACGGGCAAGCAUUGAAGUGCAACUUGGUGAACUACAAAACACAUCAAAUUCAGUUAUAAAAAUUUGAGUAACAAAGGUAUGCUAAUUAUUGUAUUGCCUGAAAGAGUGUCAUUGCCAUUAAAAACAGUAAAGAAUUCAAGUACUCUAGAAGAAAGAAGACAAAAAAAUACUUUAGUAAAUGGUCAAUUAUUUGGCACAAAUCGGAGUUAAAGACAAAGGAGAUUGUAUAUUUUAUUUGCUAAGAAUAUUUUUUAAAAUGGCCUAGCUGUAAAAUUAAACUAUACAGGGAGAGGACAAAAAAUUGGAAUAGGAAAAAUGUUGAUUGCAUAUGUUGCUAUCAACAAGUCAAAUAAGCAUGGCUUAUGCAGACAUGUGAUAGAGAUAGUGGGAGAAAAAAUAAUAAUAGUGGGUACCAAAUAUCAUAAGCUAAACACGAUUCAAUAACAAGUAGCUCAGCCAAUAUCGAAACUACUUUAUAAAUUUUAUAGUGAAUUUUUUUAUUUGAAACUCAAUG